This is a non-coding RNA of Rhopilema esculentum, 1616 nucleotides long. NCBI's taxonomy places the organism in Eukaryota, Metazoa, Cnidaria, Scyphozoa, Rhizostomeae, Rhizostomatidae. The record is from RefSeq and is a predicted model, not a curated record.
AGACAUUGUUACUCUCUGAGGGAAUAUGUAUACCAAGAAAUUUGGACAAUUAUGAGAAUUUGACAAACAAAUUUCCAGAAAGAUUGACAGCUGCUAUUAACUAGUCUCUGCAGAAAUUAAAAGACAAUUAUCUUGGGGUAGCUUCAAACAAUAGAGUGUUUAUGUUUCUGGACGCGCCACAUGAAGAUGUGCCUAAAGGGUCUCGAAACUAGCGCGGUCGCUACAUCCCCCUUGGCAGCAAGAGCGUCUUCAUCAUCAACUGAACGCUGAACGUGAAAAUAGCAUAAUCGACGUCGAGUUCUAUCAAAGAGAACUUUGUGGUAAGAGCCCAUUUAAUUCUAUUCCAAAGACUAAAAUAUGCUCAAGGAUUCUCAAUUGAUUUUCGAUCUUUUGUUCUGAUAGGUUUUCUCUUGAAUUAUCAUUCAUUUUGUUUUAUUUACAAAAUAGCCUGCGAGCAAGUGAAUGCUGAGAAACAACAUCAGACGCUUGUAGCCCUAAAACAUUUAAUAUCAUAAGUAGAUUUGCACACACAAUGUAAUAUUUUGUUUUAGUUCAAGAACAGGUAUUUUAUGCUAAUACCAUUGAAGCGCAGGUAGAAACACAGCCAUUUUUGUAGCACAUGGAAAAUCCGCCUGUGAGAUCUCAAAUAGAAUUUAUGUUGGAAAAUAUUAUUGUUGAUCCUUGUGUGAAUUCUCAUAAACUAUUUGACAAAUUACUCAUCACUAAUUUGAGCUUGCCAAAGUGUUUUCAUUUAGCAUUUCUUAUUAUAGGCAAUGAAAAGUGCAGGCUACAACCAUGCAGCAACAUUAAGCUAUCAAAUUAACAUCUGAAAAUCCUGUGCAAAUCAAGCACUAUUUAGUUUAUGUAAAAUAAUUGAAUGCAUGGAUGGAGAUCUUUUGAAUAUUUUGAUAUAGCCCUGCAGCAAUAUAUACUGCAUUUAAGAUAUGUCUCGGAAGUAAAUUUAUUUCGUUAAACUAUCCACAGAAAAGUUGAAAAUUUCAUAGUGGCUUUCUUCAUGCCUCAUCAGUGUGUUUACACAAGCACUGAUUGCUUUGACUUGAAAAAUUAUUUACUGUACAGGCAAAAAAUGAUUUGGACUAAGGAGCGCAACAUAAUGUUGUGUAGAGAAGUGUUGGUGGUGGAACCAUACAAAUUUAAGUUGGGUUCUCGUGAGCGUGGUCAUUGUUGGGACACAGUGGCUAAAAAUUUAAAUGGUCUCGCCCAACCAUCCUUUAUGGUGGAUAAGAGACCACUUUCUCAAACUAAUUAGAGACUUUGAGAGGAAGAUGACAAAGGAGCAAAGGGCUAGUGGCAUUGCUACAUAAAUUUCUGAAUUAGAUGAGGCUGUAGAGACAAUAAUUGGGAGGAUGGAGGGAGCAGAAGAGGACAUUGUCCAGACUGAUAAGAAAAGAAGUAAGGAAGUUAAGAGAGAGAGAGAAGCUGCAGAGAAUAUCAGGAAAGGAGCAAUGAAGACUGUCGGAGAAAGCAGAGAAAGGGAUGUAUCUGAAGGUGGUAUUAAGAAAAAAACAAAGGAAAGUAAACUAGAAUGGAAAGCAAUGGGUUAUUUGAAAGGAAAGCAUGAUGAGGAGGUUGAUAAACAGAAACUGGAGUUAGAG